This 301-nucleotide ribosomal RNA is filed under the name uncultured bacterium. RNAcentral describes it as "partial 16S ribosomal RNA". It matches the Rfam family "Bacterial small subunit ribosomal RNA", at positions 509 to 809 of the family's 1533-position model. The record is from RNAcentral.
CAGCAGCCGCGGGAACACGUAGGGUGCAAGCGUUAAUCGGAAUUACUGGGCGUAAAGCGUGCGCAGGCGGUUAUAUAAGACAGAUGUGAAAUCCCCGGGCUCAACCUGGGAACUGCAUUUGUGACUGUAUAGCUAGAGUACGGCAGAGGGGGAUGGAAUUCCGCGUGUAGCAGUGAAAUGCGUAGAUAUGCGGAGGAACACCGAUGGCGAAGGCAAUCCCCUGGGCCUGUACUGACGCUCAUGCACGAAAGCGUGGGAGCAAACAGGAUUAGAUACCCGCGUAGUCCCUGUCCCUUAUCCC